RNAcentral lists this long non-coding RNA (1007 nucleotides) under Brassica napus (rape). RNAcentral's name for it is "long non-coding RNA (BNAP_LNC007251)". The record is from RNAcentral. Lineage: Eukaryota; Viridiplantae; Streptophyta; Magnoliopsida; Brassicales; Brassicaceae.
CUCCCAACUUGAAAACUCUUUAAAAUCACCACUAAAAACCAUGCACAUUACCCCGACAUAUCACCUCUAUAGCAAAAACAUGUAACUCCCCCUCAACUAGAUCUGGUCUUUCUGGAUAAGAAACAUAAGAUAUUAAACAGCUGAAGAACGUUCCAAUAAUAGAGAUAUCGAAACCCAGCUCGUAUUAUAAAGACUUAAAUCUUUCUUAUCCAGACCUCAAAACCCAUCAGACUCUCAAGGUAAUCCUAAACCCUAAAAUUCACACAUUCUUUCCCAAUUAUUCAUUAUUCAUUAUUCAUCAUUUAUCAAAAGUCAACACUCACAUAGAAAAGAAGUCAAAUCUCAUAGCAAGCCUGUCAACUGAGAAAUGAACCGAUCGAUUCUCCCAUUUUGCUGGUUGCUAAUGAUGAUCUAUUACUAUACACUUCAUCAGUUUUGAAGAGCAUUAAAUGAAAUCUAAGUCACUAAAUGCAACAACAACAAAAAAAUCAAAUCUGCGAUUGCUAUCCAGAAUUCAAAUUAAAAUUCAACCGAAACGUAAUAAGGAUCAAAAACCCUAGAGUAUCAACCAAAUACACUCACCUGCACACAGAUGCUCCCACUAGCAACUCCAACGAAACUUCACCGAUCAAAUAAUUAACCAGAACGAAGAAAACGGCAGAUUGGAUUACUGGCGAUAGUAUAGACUUCCAGAUCUAAAAGACACUGUGUAGAUGAGUUUCUAGCAGUGACGAUGAAGGCUUCCUAAUUUCUUUUUUUUUUUUUUUACAAAUUUUUUAAUUAGAAUAAUGAUUUUGUUUCGGGAGAAUCAAAAGACAAGUGACCGUGAUUUCGACACGUGGCUACUCAAUCAAAAGGUUAAACGGGCUGAGUUUAAUAUCAGAACUUGUGGACGAGAGCGCAAGCGUGAGAUCCUAUCAGUUCCUGUGUUACCAUUGGUACACGUCAUUGGUAUGUUCUCGAAACUGGACUCGUGCUCUCCGCUUAUUGGCUGAAAUUUAAUUCUG